This 66-nucleotide transfer RNA is filed under the name Epixanthus frontalis. RNAcentral's name for it is "tRNA-Thr". It matches the Rfam family "tRNA". From Rfam's summary of the family: Transfer RNA (tRNA) molecules are approximately 80 nucleotides in length. The record is from RNAcentral. Lineage: Eukaryota; Metazoa; Arthropoda; Malacostraca; Decapoda; Oziidae.
GUUUUAAUAGUUUAAAUAAAACUUUGGUCUUGUAAACCAAUAAUGAAAUGUUAUUUUCUUAAAACU